GCUGGUUUGGCCAAGUGGUAAGGCGUCUGCCUUGUAAGCAGAAGAUCUAGGGUUCGACCCCCUAAAUCAGCA
This 72-nucleotide transfer RNA is filed under the name Ostreococcus lucimarinus CCE9901. RNAcentral's name for it is "tRNA-Thr (TGT) (tRNA-Thr-TGT-1-1)". It matches the Rfam family "tRNA". Rfam says of the family: Transfer RNA (tRNA) molecules are approximately 80 nucleotides in length. Their secondary structure includes four short double-helical elements and three loops (D, anti-codon, and T loops). Further hydrogen bonds mediate the characteristic L-shaped molecular structure. tRNAs have two regions of fundamental functional importance: the anti-codon, which is responsible for specific mRNA codon recognition, and the 3' end, to which the tRNAs corresponding amino acid is attached (by aminoacyl-tRNA synthetases). tRNAs cope with the degeneracy of the genetic code in two manners: having more than one tRNA (with a specific anti-codon) for a particular amino acid; and 'wobble' base-pairing, i.e. permitting non-standard base-pairing at the 3rd anti-codon position. The record is from Rfam by way of RNAcentral. Lineage: Eukaryota; Viridiplantae; Chlorophyta; Mamiellophyceae; Mamiellales; Bathycoccaceae.